AGUGAACGCUGGCGGUAGGCCUAACACAUGCAAGUCGAACGGCAGCACAGUAAGAGCUUGCUCUUACGGGUGGCGAGUGGCGGACGGGUGAGGAAUACAUCGGAAUCUACUUUUUCGUGGGGGAUAACGUAGGGAAACUUACGCUAAUACCGCAUACGACCUACGGGUGAAGGCAGGGGAUCUUCGGACCUUGCGCGAUUGAAUGAGCCGAUGUCGGAUUAGCUAGUUGGCGGGGUAAAGGCCCACCAAGGCGACGAUCCGUAGCUGGUCUGAGAGGAUGAUCAGCCACACUGGAACUGAGACACGGUCCAGACUCCUACGGGAGGCAGCAGUGGGGAAUAUUGGACAAUGGGCGCAAGCCUGAUCCAGCCAUACCGCGUGGGUGAAGAAGGCCUUCGGGUUGUAAAGCCCUUUUGUUGGGGAAGAAAAGCAGCAGGUUAAUACCCCGCUGUUCUGACGGUACCCAAAGAAUAAGCACCGGCUAACUUCGUG
This 492-nucleotide ribosomal RNA is filed under the name uncultured bacterium. Its description in RNAcentral is "partial 16S ribosomal RNA". It matches the Rfam family "Bacterial small subunit ribosomal RNA", at positions 29 to 507 of the family's 1533-position model. The record is from RNAcentral.